Molecule: unclassified non-coding RNA, 235 nt
Filed under: plant metagenome
Description: partial contains small subunit ribosomal RNA, internal transcribed spacer 1, and 5.8S ribosomal RNA
Source: RNAcentral
UCUCCGUUGGUGAACCAGCGGAGGGAUCGUUACCGAAGUUACCUUCAAAACCCACUGUGAACCUUACCUCUUGCCGCGUUGUCUCGGCGGGAGGCGGUGUGCGUCGCGCGCCCUAGCGGGCCGCGCCGCUCCCGUCCCCGCCGGCAGCGCCAAACUCUAAAUGCACAGCGGACUGUACGUUCUGAUUUACAAAAAAAACAAGUUAAAACUUUCAACAACGGAUCUCUUGGUUCUG